GCAUAUCAAUAAGCGGAGGAAAAGAACCCAACAGGGAUUGCCCUAGUAACGGCGAGUGAAGCGGCAACAGCUCAAAUUUGAAAUCUGGCCCUUUCAGGGUCCGAGUUGUAAUUUGUAGAGGGUGCUUUGGCGUUGGCUGUGGUCUAAGUUCCUUGGAACAGGACGUCGCAGAGGGUGAGAAUCCCGUAUGUGGCCGCCAGUCUUCGCCGUGUAAAGCCCCUUCGACGAGUCGAGUUGUUUGGGAAUGCAGCUCUAAAUGGGAGGUAAAUUUCUUCUAAAGCUAAAUAUUGGCCAGAGACCGAUAGCGCACAAGUAGAGUGAUCGAAAGAUGAAAAGCACUUUGGAAAGAGAGUCAAAAAGCACGUGAAAUUGUUGAAAGGGAAGCGCUUGCAGCCAGACUUGCCUGUAGUUGCUCAUCCGGGCUUUUGCCCGGUGCACUCUUCUAUGGGCAGGCCAGCAUCAGUCCCAGCGGUUGGAUAAAUGCCUGUUGAAUGUACCUCUCUUCGGGGAGGACUUAUAGCUUCGGGCGGCAUACAACCAGCCGGGAUUGAGGUCCGCGCAUCUGCUAGGAUGCUGGCGUAAUGGCUGUAAGCGGCCCGUCUUGAAACACGGACCAAGGAGUCUAACAUCUAUGCGAGUGUUUGGGUGUCAAGCCCGAGCGCGUAAUGAAAGUGAACGGAGGUGGGAACCCCUCGGGGCGCACCAUCGACCGAUCCUGAUGUCUUCGGAUGGAUUUGAGUAAGAGCAUAGCUGUUGGGACCCGAAAGAUGGUGAACUAUGCCUGAAUAGGGUGAAGCCAGAGGAAACUCUGGUGGAGGCUCGCAGCGGUUCUGACGUGCAAAUCGAUCGUCAAAUUUGGGCAUAGGGGCGAAAGACUAAUCGAACCAUCUAGUAGCUGGGUUCCUGCGA
RNAcentral lists this ribosomal RNA (909 nucleotides) under Preussia minima. RNAcentral describes it as "LSU rRNA". It matches the Rfam family "Eukaryotic large subunit ribosomal RNA", at positions 38 to 964 of the family's 3401-position model. The record is from RNAcentral. Lineage: Eukaryota; Fungi; Ascomycota; Dothideomycetes; Pleosporales; Sporormiaceae.